This 411-nucleotide ribosomal RNA is filed under the name bacterium enrichment culture clone ALO1_GLFRUDD03GRQEI. RNAcentral describes it as "bacterial SSU rRNA". It matches the Rfam family "Bacterial small subunit ribosomal RNA", at positions 9 to 420 of the family's 1533-position model. The record is from RNAcentral.
GAGUUUGAUCCUGGCUCAGAUUGAACGCUGGCGGCAUGCCUUACACAUGCAAGUCGAACGGCAGCACGGGAGCUUGCUCCUGGUGGGCGAGUGGCGAACGGGUGAGUAAUGCAUCGGAACGUAUCCUGGAGUGGGGGAUAACGUAGCGAAAGUUACGCUAAUACCGCAUAUUCUGUGAGCAGGAAAGCGGGGGACCUUCGGGCCUCGCGCUCUUGGAGCGGCCGAUGUCGGAUUAGCUAGUUGGUGAGGUAAAGGCUCACCAAGGCGACGAUCCGUAGCAGGUCUGAGAGGAUGAUCUGCCACACUGGAACUGAGACACGGUCCAGACUCCUACGGGAGGCAGCAGUGGGAAUUUUGGACAAUGGGGGCAACCCUGAUCCAGCCAUGCCGCGUGAGUGAAGAAGGCCUCGG